RNAcentral lists this transfer RNA (71 nucleotides) under Bos taurus (domestic cattle). It matches the Rfam family "tRNA". From Rfam's summary of the family: Transfer RNA (tRNA) molecules are approximately 80 nucleotides in length. Their secondary structure includes four short double-helical elements and three loops (D, anti-codon, and T loops). Further hydrogen bonds mediate the characteristic L-shaped molecular structure. tRNAs have two regions of fundamental functional importance: the anti-codon, which is responsible for specific mRNA codon recognition, and the 3' end, to which the tRNAs corresponding amino acid is attached (by aminoacyl-tRNA synthetases). tRNAs cope with the degeneracy of the genetic code in two manners: having more than one tRNA (with a specific anti-codon) for a particular amino acid; and 'wobble' base-pairing, i.e. permitting non-standard base-pairing at the 3rd anti-codon position. Lineage: Eukaryota; Metazoa; Chordata; Mammalia; Artiodactyla; Bovidae. RNAcentral also lists the same sequence under 3 other names. The record is from Rfam by way of RNAcentral.
UCCCAGAUGGCUCAGUUUUAAAGAAACUGCCUGCCAAGCAGGAGAUGCAGGUUCAAUCCCUGAGUUGGGAA